GAAAAUGGACAAUAGUGCAUCUCACUGCAGCCCUGGGCAGGUGCUUUUCCCAUCUGCGAAAGAAGCCUUCCGGGUGCUGUGGCCACCUCGACCCAACCUGUUGGGUGAUACAACUGCCCCCAGGGACACAGGG
RNAcentral lists this small nucleolar RNA (133 nucleotides) under Ochotona princeps (American pika). RNAcentral's name for it is "Small nucleolar RNA SNORA77 (ENSOPRG00000021572.1)". It matches the Rfam family "Small nucleolar RNA SNORA77". From Rfam's summary of the family: ACA63 (SNORA77) is a member of the H/ACA class of snoRNAs that guide the sites of modification of uridines to pseudouridines. This snoRNA was identified by computational screening and its expression in mouse experimentally verified by Northern blot and primer extension analysis. ACA63 is proposed to guide the pseudouridylation of 18S rRNA U814. Lineage: Eukaryota; Metazoa; Chordata; Mammalia; Lagomorpha; Ochotonidae. The record is from RNAcentral.